Molecule: ribosomal RNA, 388 nt
Filed under: Lepomis gulosus
Lineage: Eukaryota; Metazoa; Chordata; Actinopteri; Centrarchiformes; Centrarchidae
Description: Chaenobryttus gulosus partial 12S ribosomal RNA
Rfam family: Bacterial small subunit ribosomal RNA
Source: RNAcentral
CCUAGCCUUAAACAUUGACAACCCCCUACAUCUGUUGUCCGCCAGGAAACUACGAGCAUUAGCUUAAAACCCAAAGGACUUGGCGGUGCUUUAGAUCCACCUAGAGGAGCCUGUUCUAGAACCGAUAACCCCCGUUCAACCUCACCCCUCCUUGUUUAUCCCGCCUAUAUACCACCGUCGUCAGCUUACCCUGUGAAGGCCUCAUAGUAAGCAGAAUUGGCACAGCCCAGAACGUCAGGUCGAGGUGUAGCGAAUGGAGGGGGAAGAAAUGGGCUACAUUCUUUAAUAGAAAGUACACGAAUGACUGACUGAAACGUCUUUCCGAAGGAGGAUUUAGCAGUAAGCAAGAAGUAGAGUGUCCUGCUGAAUUUGGCCCUGAAGCGCGCAC